Molecule: non-coding RNA, 100 nt
Filed under: Paenibacillaceae bacterium GAS479
Lineage: Bacteria; Bacillati; Bacillota; Bacilli; Caryophanales; Paenibacillaceae
Also listed under: 1 other name
Description: Purine riboswitch aptamer
Rfam family: Purine riboswitch aptamer
About the family: Riboswitches are metabolite binding domains within certain messenger RNAs that serve as precision sensors for their corresponding targets.
Source: Rfam by way of RNAcentral
AUUAAAAAUUUAAUUAACUUUCGUAUAAUUCCGGGAAUUGGCCCGGAAGUCUCUACUCGGUCACCGUAAUGACCAGGCUACGAAAUUUCAGGGUGCGAGC